UCCGGGGAGGGGAGAAAGACGUUACUAGACCCGCCUCUGUCCUGCUUCUGUGGCAGGACUUCUAGCAGCCCUGUGGCUCUGCGCCUGAGGUUGCAGUGGAUCCAGUGCCUGCGGUAGCUCCAUGCAUCCAGGAACACAGUGGAUGUGGUGGGGUGUGUGACUUUGAACAGUUGGGCAGCAGUGUGCACAGAGAUGGCUUAAAGAAUCUUGUGGGACAUGGACUCACAGCUACCUGGGCCCAGGACAGGAUCAUCUACCCUGCUGAGGCAAUCCCUCACUGGUGUCAGAACCCUGUUCUUCAGGAUUCCAAUGCAGACUGAAGACCAGCAUUCCCUAGGAAUCCUACAGGACUCCAGCACUGGAUCGUGACUGCUGGGUUACUGAGCACCUACAGGACUCUUGGAGACAGUCACUGUUGAGAACACCUGGACCACGGCCUGUAAGCCAUCCUAAUACCCUUACCACAUAUAUAUCUAUGUAUUUAUUCUAGCAACUGUUCCUUUAGAGGCCCCUAACACAUGACACCCAAGUAUUCAGGACCAUGUGGAAAAAGGAGUGCAUGUUUAAAUCCAGGGGGAGCAACUAGACAGCCCAUUUCACACAAGGGGCAGAGGGCAUGGUUUAGCCAAGGAGCACAUGCCUGGCACAGACAGGCCCUGGGUUCAUAUGCCAGGCCUCAGGGUAUGGGUGACCCUUAGAUCAACACUGGGUCUUUUGAAUGCUACUUUAAUAACCUUGUAGACCAUGAAAUAUGACGAUAAAUUCUAGAAACAUGAACAGACAUGAGACUUUUAUACAAAAAUUUGUUGCUUACAAAACAUACGGAAAAGAAAGCUAAGGAAAAAAAAAAAAGACACGGAAGGCCUCGUUCUUGCUAACUUUUGUCUACAUUAAAAAAAAUCUGAAAACUAA
This is a long non-coding RNA of Mastomys coucha (southern multimammate mouse), 912 nucleotides long. RefSeq lists it as uncharacterized. The record is from RefSeq and is a predicted model, not a curated record. NCBI's taxonomy places the organism in Eukaryota, Metazoa, Chordata, Mammalia, Rodentia, Muridae. The transcript is spliced from 3 exons.